RNAcentral lists this ribosomal RNA (253 nucleotides) under uncultured bacterium. RNAcentral's name for it is "partial 16S ribosomal RNA". It matches the Rfam family "Bacterial small subunit ribosomal RNA", at positions 524 to 776 of the family's 1533-position model. The record is from RNAcentral.
UACGUAGGGAGCAAGCGUUGUUCGGAUUUACUGGGCGUAAAGGGCGCGUAGGCGGCAGAUCAAGUCAGCUGUGAAAUCUCCGAGCUUAACUCGGAACUGUCAGCUGAUACUGUUUUGCUAGAGUGCGGAAGGGGCAAUCGGAAUUCUUGGUGUAGCGGUGAAAUGCGUAGAUAUCAGGAGGAACACCGGUGGCGAAGGCGGCAUCCUGGACCGACACUGACACUGAGGAGCGAAAGCCAGGGGAGCAAACGGG